ACAGGGUGAUCCUGCUGUUCAGUUCACAGGGGCCUGUGUGUGUGGCAACUCUGUCUGGACUCUGUUGACCCUUCUCACUGGUGGCCUGAGGACACAGCCAGCGUGGGAGGACUCUCGGGCCCUCUCAGGGGAGAAGACCAAGAAACUCCAGCUCCACUCCAGGCUGGCUUGCCCUAGAAUUCUUUUUAGCAGAGUAGUCAAGAAUCCCAUCCCAGCUUCAUCUGAUGGAGGUCUCUGAAGAGUACACUGGCUGCUGCAGGUGGCUACAUGGAGCUGUUUGUCUGGCCUGGAUUGCACAGCCUGUGACAAAGCCAGGGUGCUGCGUGAGAGUUGAGUGCUGAGGGAAGGGAGCAAGGAAAGGUUGGAGAAGGGGGAAAGCGCCUCCCCCAACUCUGAAGGGUGUUGGGGUAGGGGUGCGGUGGGCUGGAGGUUCAGAGUAGAAGCUCUGCGUGCUAUGAGGGGGCCAUUAUGGCAAAUCAUCAGGGGCACAGGGAGGCAGGAUCCACUUUCAGCGUUUUCCUCUAUGUCCUGCUUGUCUUGAGGCCUCCAGAACCCCAAGAGGUGCUGGUGCAGUUCUACGUGGGUCAGAGCUCACAGUCAGCCACCCAUCUUUUCCUUCCACUAAAUUCUCCACUGCCUUCCAUGGUCAAGCCACUGGAGAAAAGGACUAACUGGAGCUAAGGUUUCAAGUUUCUCAGGCCAGGUUGUGGCAGUGUAGGGGGACAUGCACUCAGACUAAUGGUGGGAGCAAUUGAUAAUGCAAUGGGAAUAGUCACUUGUAGGAAUGUGACUUGGUGCGGUCUGACCAAGUCACAGGAAGCUCAGCACUGGACAGAUCUGUCAAGUAGCCCAGGAGGACAGUGGGAAGGAUCAGUACCCCAUAUAUACCAAUCAUGUGGUUUGGGCUGCCUCCAAGGGAUGUCACAUUGAGCAAGAAGUUUUUUUUUAACUAUGACUGGUGACCAGAGCCUCAGCCACAGUGGGUCUUUGUAGGCCAAGGCAGGAAUCUAUGAUUUCUGACAACUGUUACAAGAGCACCCAACUUUAUUAAGAAACCCCCAGUUCUGGGCCAAAUGAACGGUAGGUAGACUUUCAAACACACACACAUUCAUGACCCCCUCUCAUAAUAGUCAUGAAGCCAGGCUGGCUUUGAAUUCCUAAUCAUAUCUCUAUGCCCUAAGUGCUGGGAUUGCAUGUAUAGAUCACCAUGAUUCCAAAACAAACAGCAAACUAGACUUUGCCAUGCAAAGGGCUUCCCUCAACAUAAGGUGACAGAGAAGUUACUGACAUCUUACUGAAGGGGAAAGCAGGAGACAGAUAAUGGCAGUGGUGUGGAGAAAAAGGGUAGAGACUGCAGGGCUAAAAGACUACUGCUUAAAAUGAAGAACUGGAGAGGCAGCAUGGCAGGGCUGUGUAUCAAGUAGAUCAAAGAGAUAGACUUGCUCCUACAUGCCUAAGUUGUUUCCUUGGAUUCUGAGACAUAGCCUUAGUUGCCCCUGCUGGGCUCUUAAGCAGAAUGUCAGGCAGGCUGGUCUUCUGAGGCUCCCACGUCCUCCCAUGUCCCAGUGACUGUGAUGGCUGCAUCCUGGAAACAUCUCUCCAGUAAAUCUUUUGUGACUAGCUGUCAGCCAUCACUUUGCUAAACCACCAAAUGCCACCAGCAGUGACACCACCAGGAGCCACAGGCUCUGCACCUAAGCUCCAGCACAGCUGAGAAUGGAAGAAGCUACAGAAGGUCUCCACCUCUGCCUGGCUUUUCACCACUGGGAACAUGUCCCUGUGUGGACUUGUUCCUAGCCCCUCUCUGGCCCAGCUAUGACAGGAUUACCUGUUCCUAAGAUCAUUUCAGGAAGAGAGCAGAGGCCAGAAUGUGGGGAAAUUGCCACAUGUCCAGUGAAAUCUCUGUAACAUUUUUAUCAACUGCAUUCAACUAGAAACAAAUGACACAAACCAUCUGGUUUGUUUAAUUAAUUGAGCAACGUAAACAGCUAAGACCGACCCCCAAACAUCAAGGUAAAUGAAAGGCCGUCAUUGUUCAGGAGCAAAGGUGUAAUCAAACUCUAAUUUUCUAUUCCAGUAGACAUCUUUGAAUUAGUUUCUAUUCAACUAAUUAUGAAGUUUUUUUAUUAGUGUUCUACUUGAUUAAUAAAGCACAAAACACAGAUUACCUAUAAUAUUAAUAUAUAUAAUAUCUCAGCCUCCACGGGGAGUACCUGGGUGGUUUCUGUGUAUGUUUAAAUGCUAAACAAGGGAAGCCAGGAGAAUGAGAAGAUGUAAAGGGAGGAGGGGAACACCAGCUAGUUUUUAAGAAUUUUAAAGAGAGCAAGGAGAGAUCUAUGGGAGGCUUUGGAGAGUGGAAAGAAAGGGGGGAGGGAAUGGUAUGUUAAAAUCCCAAACACCAAAGAAAUGAAUAAAAAGCAUUGAAUCUGAAAGACAAAAACGAAGCCACCUAGCACAGUACCUGGAUCCCUUUGUGCCAUCUGGAUAAAAUAUUUAUAGUGUCAACUUGUGCCUUGGGCCUCAGGAGAGAACCCCCUUAACUAUUAAGAGAUAUCUUGAAAACUUAUAUUCUAAAAGACUGGGAUCCCAAGAACAGAUAAAUUCAUAGACAAAGACAUAGUUAAGUCGCCAAAAUGAAAUCUAGAGAAUAGAAACAACUUAAUGGAUCCAUAACAAGCAACGUGGUUGAGGCAAUGAGGGAACAGCAGGGCCCUCAGAGAGAGCCUCAGAAGACAGGGUUUUACUGAACUCUACCAAACCUUCAAAGAACUAAUGCAUGGCGCUUAAGUUGCUCCAUAAAAAUAGAAAGAGAAAGAAUGCUAUCAAAUCCCCUCAAAGAAACCAGCCUCACCCUGGUAGCAAAAUGGGAUAAGGAUCCCCACCAAACAAAUAAGCGAAACUCAAGAGACCAGUUUCCCUGCGCAUACGCACAAAAAUUCUCAGUGAAACACUUGCCUACUGAAUUCAACAGCACAUGAAGAUGAUCACAUGCUAUCAGCAAGUUGACUUUUUCCAGGAAUACAGGAUGGUCCAACAGUUACAAGUCAAUAAUUUUAAUACAGUACAUAAACUUAACAAUAGAAAUUACAGGGUCUUCUCAAUGGAUGCAGAAGUGUUCUUUGACAACAUUGAACAUCCUGUCAUGAUAAAAAGCUCCCAAAAAACUAAGAAUAAAAGAUAUAUUAUCUAUCAUUUAUCAAUCUAUUAAUCAAUUACCUAUCAUCUAUUAUCUAUCAUCAUCUAUUAAUCAUCUAUUAAGUAUCAAUCAUCUAUCCAUCUAUUAUCUAUCUAUCUAUCAUCUGUAUAUCUGCCUAUCUAUCUUUCUAUCUAUCUAUCUAUCUAUCUAUCUAUCUAUCUAUCUAUCAUAUAUUAUCUAAUUUUCAACUUGACAGAAUCUAGAAUGAUCUGAGAGAUGGGUCUCUGCCUGUGGAGUUAGCUUUACUGUAUUAACAAAAUGGGCAUACCUGUCCACUGUGGGUAGUACCAUUCCCCUGGGUUGGGUUUUCCACUGCAUAAAACAGGGAAAGGGUCACUGGAUAGCAGCAUCAGUUCAUCUCUUUCUUCCUUCUGCUUGUGUAUAUAAUGUGAAUAAGCACUUUUAGUACCAGCUACCCUGACUUCUUUGCUAUGAUGGACCUUGAACCUUGAGUCAAAAGAAACCCUUUUUCCUGGAGUUGUUUUUCUCAGAACUCAACUCAGUAAAGGCAACAACAGUAAAGAAAACUAAAAAACCAACAGCCAGCAUUUUAUGAAGUAGGAAAAACUGAAAGCAUUUCUUUAAAAAUGAGAAACGCACUAAGAGUAUCUCUUUGUUCUUACUCAGUGCAGUACUUGAAGUCCUAGCUAGAGCAAUAAGACAAAGAGAAAUGAAAGGGAUACAAAUAGGAAAUAAAAAGUUAUAAUUGUAUCUACUUGCAGAUGACAUGGUCCCAUAGUUAAAGGAAUUCUGCCAGAAAACUCUUAGAUACGAUAAGCAUUUUCAGCAAAGGAGCAGAUUUCAAAAUUAAUAUACAAAUCCUAGUAACUUUCCUAUAUAGAAAUAAUAAAUUUGCCAAGAAAGAACUCAGGAAAAACUUCAAAUUCACAUUUCUCUAAAGAAUCCAAAACAUUCUUAGGAAUAAACCUAACUAAAGACAUGAAAUACUUGUAUAAUGGAAACUUUAAAACAUUUAAGAAAAAAAAAUGAAAAUUAGAAGAGGGAAAGGCAUCCCUUGCUCUUGAGGAGCAGAAUAUAUACUAUGAUAAUGGGUAAUUACUAAAAGCAACCUAUGCAAUGAGAGACCCAUAGAACUACAGCAUCCUCUUCAGAACUAAAAAGAAAAAGAAAACAACAACAACAACAACAACAACCCACAGUUCAGAUGAAAGCACAAAACUCCCACGAUAGUCAAAGCAGAACAAACUGAUGGAAGUAUCUCAAUGCCUGCCUUAAUGAUCCAGGACUAGUGAGAUACCUCAGCAGUCAGAAACGCUUGCUGCUCCUCCAGAGGACCAGAGCUCAGUUCUCAGCACCCCGUAAAGUGCUUCACACAUGCCGAUAACUCCAGGGGAUCCAAUGCCCUUUUGCCCUUUGAGAGUUCCAGCAAGCACAUGCAUGCAUGCGACACACACACACACAAAAUCUUAAAAAAGAAAAUGUUCUGCAGAGUUAUGGCAACAAAGGGAAUAUGGUGUGGACACAAAAACAGACAUGUAGACCACCGGAAAGGAUAGGGGAACCAGAGAUAAACUUACCAUCUGUAGACAAUUUCUGACAAAGCUGUCACAUAUUUACUGAAACCCAGUCUCUUUUAAAACUGCCGCCAGUUUCCACUGGGGAGAAACUAGACCCAUAGCUCCUACCCUGCAGAAAAUGGAUUAAAACAGACCAAUGACCUUGAUACAAGCCUUAAGCUUUGAAACUUCCAGGAGAAAACAGUUUAAGAUACAAGCACAGGCAAAGACUGUCUUUUGAAUAAGACUCCAGUGGCACAGGAAAGAAUUCCAAAUAUCUUUAAAAAUCAGAUUGUGUGAAUCUAAAAGUUUUCUGUACAGUGAAGGAAAGAAACUGUAGGCAAAGUGAAGGGACAGCCCACAGAAAGGGAGACCUUUGCCAACUGUAUAACUGACAGGGGAUUAAUAGCUAGAACCUAUAAUGGCCUAAAAAAAUUAAA
RNAcentral lists this long non-coding RNA (5153 nucleotides) under Mus pahari (shrew mouse). RNAcentral describes it as "lncRNA (MGP_PahariEiJ_G0003883.1)". Lineage: Eukaryota; Metazoa; Chordata; Mammalia; Rodentia; Muridae. The record is from RNAcentral.